AGUCUUUUUUAAUGUAAUAUAUAUCAUAAUAUAAUAAACCAGCUUUCUGAAAUGGAGUCAAGAUCUCUCCUUCCCUUCACCAAGUCCUAACUGCCCAGAAGACCCAUGGUAAUAACACGGCAAUGACAGUAAGCCUUGUCAUCACCUACCAUUUAAUCCACAAGGCACGAGUGUGACUUGAUGCUCAGAUCUGCACAAAUGACUACAGGCAACACCUCCUCUCAGUGUCAACCCAGCACGUCUUUGUGAGACACCUAUCCACUUUGUCCAGUGGAAAAGGACCUCGACUCUAGAUGAUUUCUAGAUGAGUUUACAAGCACACUCAAGAGCUGGGAAGUCAAGGAGAAUACAAGCAGAUCUGCAGUGACUGUACCGUUUCUUAUAUAAAGCAUCUCCAUCUUCACCUGUGUCUCUCAGUAAAUCUGAGACUGAACAGCUGGAAUUUAUAUGAGAAACAAACUUGCCAUUUUCUUUCAAUGUUAUGCCACAUCUGUUGAUUUUCUUUUUUAAAAAAAAUACAUAAGGCAGGAUGUGAUUUAAAUUUAUGUACAAGAAAGCAUGAAACAGAUAAUCUGAGAAGUGUACAAAGUUCCACACAGAACAUCUGAUAUGCUGUAAGUAUUAAUGUAUAAACUCAGACCGUCUUCUUACUGCAAUAGUUCUUCAUGGUUCAAAAUGAGCUUGAUCUAAAAUGAAACAUAACUUUGAACAGGUUUUAGCAAUGAAUACCUGAACAUAAACAUCUUAAAAAUGUGAAAGCUGGAGACUUUAUAGAGCUGGUUAGAGUGGCUGGUUAUUUAUAAUGUAAACUCAAAAGAAAACAGUGCAACUUUCAAAAAAACACAGGAAAGUUUUCUCAGGCUGCACGCUAGAGAGUACGUCUGCCAAAAGACCUCCAAGGAGCUCUGAAGAGCCCUUUAUUCUCCCUUCUAAGGCUUCCAUGCAGCAGAGCAGCCUGUUGAACACUCGGUUUUUAGCAUUCUUCUUUUUCUUCAGAAAUUACGAAGGCAACGACAUUACUGAUUUGGAAAGGACAUUAUCUCUAAAAGAGCGACAAACAAACUUUCCAUGCAUUGUUUCAAGUCAUACAAAGAGGGUAAAAAAAUUACCAACUGAGAAGAAAUUCUUAUUAUACAACAACACAAUUUUAAUGUUUUGAAACAGUUCCUUCUAAAAAAAUCUUCUAGAGUUUGUUUUCACCCGAGAUAACACCAAAGGCCAGUGGUGUGAUCUGAACUGGUGAACACAAAAUACGACUUUUCUUAAAUGGAAACUAGAACUUGACUUCAUACAGUGCCUUCAUACUUAGUGUGUUAUAAAUUACUUUAAAUACUGGCAGGCAAACAGCCAUUAUGCACUCAAGAGCUCAUACGUAAUAAUACUUAGCAUUUUGAUAGAGCUUUUCAUCUUCAAAGUGCUUUACAAACAACUCAUUAAUCUCAACCAAUACACCUGCAAGGUAGAUAAAUAUCUGCAUUGUAGGUGGAGAAAGACACAGAAAGUUCAAUGACUCAUCCAAAGCCAUGCACACUACCAGCCCCAAAUAUCCCUAGCUCCUGGCUCCUAGAGCCAUGAAGGACCUGAGCCCCACUGUGUGUUGAGAUCACACCUUCUCUUGAGCUACAGAGCUGCAGGAGAACUUAUUUUACUGCAAAGCAGUGGCAGAGUGCCAGCCUAGCUGGAGACCCUCCCUCUUCCAAAGCUGGUAAGUUCCCAAGGACUGCUAGCUCCCACCAGGAUCACCAACCCCAGGAAGUGGGAAGUCCAUGAGACACCAAAGUGAGACUCACAACAUAGAUUCUCAAACCAAUUCACCAUCAAGCAGUGAGCUGGAAAAGCCUCUGCACUGGCAGAAGCCUUUGCCUCUCUCCCUAUUUAUUUCUAGCUGCAGCACAGACUCCAGAGCAGCAGAUUCCUACAAGUCAGACAACAGAACCCUGAAGUCUUUGGCCUCUGAGUACUGCGACAGUUCAAGAAAACAGCUUCACUCCUCUGGUGUUCUCUAACUAUUAAAAACUUGUAAUGAAAUUUUGCAUUCAAAAAUGGUAAUUCUCUUCCCUGUUGGUGACUGGAAAAAAAAUUUAACGUGAUUACGCUGCAUGAUUUUACUUCUAACUUUCUGAGUUUUAAAAGUGUCAGAUAUGAUUUUUCUUAAACCUCAGAAACACCAGGAAUGUCAAACUUGGAGGGAGCAGAAGAGAAACGUGGAAGGUGUGAAUACAAUACAUGUACUGCGCUACAGCAGACUUUAUAUUCCCUCAGAGAAAAUGAAUAAUGAACUUUUAGUAAUAACAUAUUUAUUUCAGAUGUUUAUUAGUCACUAGAUUUAAAUACAUAAACCUGACAAUCCUUAUCUGUUCAUUCUUCACAUUUGUGAGCUUGGAGCUCAGCAAGUUCUCCAGCCACUGUAGCUCCUCCCUGGGUAAACCACUCAUAUUUAGAAAUAUAGGUUCGUCAGACAAACUGUUAAAAUAACAGAAAAACAAAUUCCACUUUUUCUUAAGAUAUCGAAGAAAAAAGUCUCUCUACAAGUAAUGGUAUAAGCAAACACUUAUCAAAAGAUAAAUGAAUGGCAAAAAUGUAUGUAUCUAAAAGAGCUCUGCCAGCCUACCCAGUUGACCUGGAUAUAAAAGGCAAAAUAAGAAGAAGCAGCCUUUAAUUACUCUUCCCCACAUUGAUGUUUUAAACUUAUAAAGAAAAAAAUAACAAGCCCACAUAAAUCAAAACAACAUGAAGAAACAACUCCUGAUUAUUAAACAGAAGCUACAAGUUCCCCACCUUUAGAAGACUUUUAAGCUUAUUAUUUCAUGAUUUAAAGUGGGCUUGUGUCUGACUGCCAACACCAUGCUUUUAAAAAAACAAGUCAAAUCUACAACUCCCAAUGAAAAUAAAGGCAUAUAAGAGCAAACUAAAAAUAUAACAUACAGGAAAUAAAAUUAGAUUUAAUUACAUUGAACACUAGCGUUCAUUCUGCAAUCACAAAAAAAUUCUAAAAGCAUUUUCUAAAUUAAAAACUCCACCAUAAUAUUCUACAGCUAAAAUACUAUGCACUCUUUAUACAAUGCAUUUUUUCCAAAAGAAUGAAACAGAUUAAAGAGCAGCAUGCAAGAACAAAAUUGAAAUCUGCAAUUGUAUCCACUAAACUCUGGAAGCCUAACAAUGAUGAUGCAGUAAAAAACCACCUAACAUCACAACAGUAAUGGCACAACAUUUUUUGCUAUAUUGCUUAAUAACUCAUCACUUUAUUUGUAUGCAGCAAUGAAGAGAUGCCACAGCAACUCGUGUCUGUCUCUGUGUGCUCUAUUGUUUCCUGCUUCUGUUUUCAGGGUAGGUUAAAAAGAAUCUUUUCUCCUAAUCAUCAGCAAACCAGUACCAGAUUUCACUUGUGGUAAAGUAUGCUACCCAUCAGUACAAGGCAAAGCUCCAUAAAAGCAACAAAGAAAAUAAAAAAAAGCAAGAGGCAAGGUCUGAACACAUUUUUCUUUCAAUUCCCUUGGGAAUCAUGGUUCUAUAGGUCUUGAAUUCCCAGGCAGAGGGGAUCAUGUUCAUCAGUUACGGCAGCUCCUCUGGGCCUAAGUCCAGGUAGACUGCUUGUCUAAACUUGAUGAAAUAUAGGCGCCAUCAGGUAACGGCAGUGGUUGGGGAGACUCCAGAAAUGUGUAACUGAGAACUAAAAAAUGAAAUUAAAGCAAGGCUGUAGCCAAACAGCCUCCUUCCACAGGAUGCAAUAACUGUAAGGCAAAGAGUUUGCAACAUACAGACUCCUCCUUAUAUAUGUUCUUUUGCCUCUUCACAUAGAUAAUAUGAAAGCUGGAUUGGGCAGAUAAGCAUAUUUUAACAAACAUUGAUUUUAAAUAGAAAUGCUUAGGAAAGAAACCAUUGUGACAAAUACAAAUGGCUUGAAUAGAAAAAACAUUAAAAAGAAGUCAUUGCCCUGUAACCCACUCUCUCUCCCACUACAUUACUUCAAAAUAUUUUCAAAUUAAAUUUUCAUGCUAAUAAGUAUUGCUAGAUCAACAGCACUGGGAUGUGGUGUCUAGAAGCACUGCAAGCUACCCAUCAUGGCACAUCAUCAUGUCAAAAUGUCGAAAGAGAAGAAGAAGAAGAAGCAGCAAGACUCACUAGAUGUGCAUUUUGAAGUGCUAUAGGAAUGUGCUUGUUUGGGAAUGGGGAAGGAAGGAGGAACCAAAAAAAAGGAAAAUUCUCAAUCCCCAGUUGAUAAGAUCGUUGUAACUGGGUGUCCUAAAGGUAGCUAUAGUACAGAAAAGGCCUUUUCAGACUGAACAUGAUCAAGUACUACUUUGAAAUCACAAAUUGCAGUGGACCAGCAGGACUGUCAUUGAAGAAUGGUCAAAAGCUCCUAAGCUUUUGUUUAAAUUUCCUCUUGAUUCACAGCUGUCACAAUCAGAACAUCAUGUCUAUUAUAUCCAAAUAUCAAGGAAAGGAAAACCAGCUUAGAUUUCAUGACACAGACGUCCACUGCAGCUUUAGCAUCAAAACAGGUUCAACACCAGAAGUAGCUUGUCUUCAAGGUGAUUUCAGCCAAAUCCACAUCUCUUCAGAAUAAAAAAAAAGAGAAAAUACCAUAACACCACAGAAAUAUUUUUUGGUAUCCUCAACCUUACACUCCAACUAUAGCUAUACAUGGAAAGCCACACAAGAAAUGAGGUUAAGUGUACCAAACUGGCUCAGUAGGGUUUCCCCUGCACAACUACAGAACACUCACAAUACACAAAUCCCAAAGUUUACAGACUAUGUGGUAUGUUGUUUUUAUGUGCACCUUAAAUUCAGCUUCUGGUCUAGGUAGGGUAAUUCAGUGCAAAAACUUGAGUAAAAGAAAUUCUGUAUCUAAAUCUAGAAAGCACCUUACCUAUGUCCACUGCUAGACUGCAAGUUUGCCUGGUAACAUAGGAGCAGCAGGCACCAGGGCAGGCUCAGGCCCUGUUUCAUCCUGCUGAUGCUGUGCUGCCACAAAAUCCUCCAGAAAUUACUCCCUCAGUGCUAGAGUUUCUCCAUCCAUCAGCUAGUGCUCAUGAUUUCAGCCCCUUUUGUUUGCUUAGCUAUCUGCACUGUGAGCUCUCAGAGGCAAAAUAAAAUGUUUUAUUAUAUGUUCACAGGACAUUUGAUCCUGUGAUUUUAGGGAGUGAAGCUAUCUGCUCUAAAAUAAAAGGUAAUUCACUAUUUGAGGUCCAGAAUUUCUUUAGGAAUGAUUCAUCCAUUCUUUCUCCUCAAACGCUAUAUAUUACUCUAAACCAGCUUAGAGACCUGUCAUGUACUCUACCACUAUUCUUGACGUUUCAAGUAACAGAACAUGCAAGGACCAAGUAGCCAGACACUUCACAGUUUGACCCUGCACAUAGCCUCGGCAGGGUCAUCUUCCAGUACAGAUUUUAGGAGUCUGUAUUUUUGUUCCCUUUAAUUUAAUCUCUAAAGAUUGUGAAGUGGUAUUCUUUAUUUCACUGAUUUGCUGUAUGAGUAUAGAGGAGGUUAAAUCAGUUACUUGGUUCUUUGCAGAACAGCACUAGAAUCCGUGCGUGUUGGUUAACACUGCAUGUGUCAGCCUGAAGAGUAGAAGACUGAAGCAACACCUAAAGGAGAGACAAAGAUUGCCUUCUUUGCUGCCCAGAGGCAGCACUGAACUGAAUAUCUUGAAUUAAAAUCACAGACAAGACUUUCCAUUUCAGACUUUCUACCUUAUUACAUGGUAUUAUGUUGAGCCUUUGCUUCUACAUCUGCAGGCAGGUGAGGAAAAUGCCAGAUGACAACGGGCUCUGGCAGGCAGCGUAGAAGUUGUGCAUGCCAACAGUCCUUGCACACAGACAUCCCCAUGUCCAACUGGGAAGACAGAAACAGCACUGUAAAAUCCACUUUGGAAGCACAGCAGCAAGACAGCUCCCUACGGUGGGGCAUCCCACUUUCUUGCUAGAGUAAUUCCCAGAGCUUUUCCCAGGUAUUUUCCUUCAGGGUCAGUAGCCUGUGCACAAAGGUGGACAAUGGCCCUUCAGCGAAUCACCACACCAGGGCAGCGAGCUUCUGCAGAGGGUGGAAAAGCCUCAGAGCUCUGCCAUAGGAAUGGAAAGAGGAAGCAGCUCUUUUCUGCUUAAAGAAAGCUCCAGGUGUGCUUUAAGGAGAAUUCUGCAAAAUUAAAAGUGAUACAUACAAAAUACAUUUCUAAACAUGAUCAAUUUUGCCUGAAGGAUUAUGGCUGGGCUUACUUUCCUUAACUUCUGGGAUAUGAAAAUAUACCUGUGUAAUACAUUUAUCACAGACUAAACACUGGCAGAUACAGGACACUACCUAGGACCUGGGCACCCAAGAUAUAAGGCAUGCAGAGCAGAGAAAGCAUUCACAAAAAGCUGAAACUAAGUACUCCUCAGGAACUCAUCAUUAACUUUGUCUCCAUGUGGGUUUUAGCUGCAACCACAACGGUGACGCUCUGGUGCCAGGGCAAUGGGCACCUUCCUACAAAGGAGAAAAGACUUCUUAGUCUGAAAUGAAUGGCUACAAGAGUAGGUGUGGGUCACUAAAGCUGUUGAUGUGGCUGAAAAUGUUGGUUUUCAGCAGCUGUCCAGGACAUCUGCUAAUGACUUUCCUUCAUUUAAAGGCAACCUUAGCUAAUGCUGAGAAACCUAAGCUCACAGAGAAACCACACCCCACACAUCCAUCCACAGCCAGAAGUGAUAGAUCUCGUAAGAAAAAAAGACACAGUGUGCUGCCAACAAUACAUUAUCGCUCAACUGAGAGAACGAUUAAACACUCUACUGAAAGGGGAAUAUUUUUCUCUCAUGCCUCAAACCCUGAAAGUGCAUGUCUUCCCUAGAGUUGCUGCACAGUUGAAAUGGGAAUAAUUCCUCGCCUGCCUGAUUAUUUUCGAGACAGGGAUGAAACUACCUUAGGAUCAUUUAAAAAAUGUUGAAAGUGUACUACAAUCAAAUGGUUUGAACUUCCACCAUGCAUCACUUGCAGCUCAUAAUGCUAAUGUUAAAUUCUGGAGACAUGAGUCUGUCUACAAAUUAAUGGAAAAUGUGAAUUAAUAUUUUCUUCCAGCUAAUUGCCCAACUCAUAUACUGCACAGUGCAGCCAAGCACAUUAGAUCUUGAAAACUCUCUUGCACAAGUUUUAAACCACUUUUUCUCAUUUGUCAAAAAAAAAAAAAAAAACAAACCAGAAUUACAGGACGUAUUUAAUUGUAAGUCUGGAAUACCAGGAAACAGUCAAGUCUCCCCAAAACUGUUACCUGUAUAUUCCAUGGUUAAUUUUUAAAAAAAAUUAGGUUAAAAAUACUGGAAGUUACUAUAGGUGAAUAUUAAUUGUUUGAGUAGUUUCAGUAACUUCUGAAUUUCUUUUUAACAGUGAGAAAAAUACGAAGUGAUACUUCUACCAUUUGAAUAUUAAUAGUGCUAAGAAGAUUUUUAUGGUUCUUUCUUAACAUGAGAAUGGUGUCUAACAUGCUGAAAUUUGUGGUUAAAUAUGCUUAUCAAAGAGCAAGAGGUAACAAUUUAAAAAAAAAAAUAUAACUCCUGUUUCAAAAUGCACCAUCAGAAAGAUGGAAACAGGUUGAUUCAGUAGCAGCAAAAAACAUGUAAAAUGAAUACUUUGAUUUUACAAAAAAAAAAAUCUAAUUUUGAGUCCUUUUACUUCCUCUUAGAAAUACUGAAAAGUUUGAAUUUUAUAAAACCAUGAGCAUUACCAAGGUCUGAAAAUUAAAAAAAUGUGAGAAAUUACUGUAUCAGAAACACUGCUCAGUAAAAGAGUCAGUAAAGCAGGUACUUUAUUUAUCUAAUCGCUUCCCAGACGGAGACCCCAUAGCACACUUCUGUACAGUAACAUGCAGAGUCCAACAUGAAAUGGCAAUGUAAAAGUGCAUUACCUGAAUGUCAAAGCCAUGUCUGACCAGAAAGAAAAACUAUGUAAAAUUACUUAUCUGCACUCUGUCUAGAGCAUAUAAACCAGAUCACUUCACAUUGCCUCAAUGACUUGCUACACCUUCUUUAUUAGUCCAACUAAUGUUUGUAACUUGUGUAGUGCUUCAGGAUAGUUUGAUUAUUUCCAUAAAUACCAUUAUGGAGAAGAGUUUAUUAUUCCUUUAAUAUACACAGUGUUGGCUAACCUAUGAAAUACAGAAAAUACUCAACCAUGCAUUACUGACAAGGCUUGUGAACCAAACUUAUGACCUACACAGCCCAAAAAAGAAAAAAAAAAGAAAGAAACCAAAAAAUCAAAGCAAACACCAGCUAAUUUCUAAUGAGACUUGGCACUUCUGGGCAAACUUGAAAGUGUGAGGCUUUGAAGCUGCACUGCAACAGAAUCAACUCCAGUUAUGUCCUUCUGUUUCUAUGAAAAAUAAAGAAGGUUUAAGGCAUUUCCUCCUCAUUUUACUAACAGAGGGGAAACAGUAACAUUCUCAGAAAAAUUUUGAAAACAAACAUCUCUGAAAGGCUCUGUAGUCACAGAACAAGAAGGAUCUCACAACAUCCCAUAUCCUGUGGUGCUGGAGACAGCUAUAGUUCUAAUCAGGUGCAGUUUCCAGGUUCCCCACUGAGGAGCCUGUGGACAAAUUCCCGGUUCCACAAGGGGCUGAACAAGGCAGCUCAGCCCCACACCAAGCAAACAGCCAGCCUGGGAACACAAACUACAUAUGCAAUGGGUGUAUCACACCCCACCAGUCUACACUGAAUUGACUUUAAAAACCACAGUAAGUCACACAGCUUAGCACAGAAUUCUUAUUCAUUGCUAGGGAAGCAAGAUCAGGAAUCAGUUAUAUCAGUAUGGAACACAAAAGUAACUCAAUUUACAUGGGAUGUCUUCUCAUCAAUUAUUUCCCUGUGGCUCUAAACCCUGAAAUUUCAUUAUAAGAAAUUAGGGGCUUCUACUCUACAAUAAUUCACCUGUAUAAAAUAAAUAGAUCUGUAAGAGAUUACUAUGCUUUAAACCAUCUAAGAUACAAUUGUAGAUAUAAAUGCAGUUCUUUCAUGUGUCCUACUUUAUUACCAAUAAAGUAGCACAGAUUCAAUUACGAUAACACCUGAAACUGUGAUAAUAUCUAAUCAGACAGUUUACAAGCCUGUGAAUCAGCACACAGUCCAUACUAACUACAAACUGUGACAGUGACUUGAUGUGUCUGUGCUCUGGGUGUUUCCCAGUUUUCUUUUACAAAAUAAUAAAUUCAAUUCACACUCCUAUGCAUCACCUGUAGAACUUUUUUUGAAUACUCUUCAAGGAAAGGUGAGAGCUAAAAUGCAAUUCAACCCACUGCAGCAUUUAAGCAUACAGAAUUUCACAAAGGUUGGUGGAAACCACUCACACCCUAAAGAGUUGUGUGCCUUCUUGGGUUGAAAGUGUUUGAAUUCUGGCUGAAUAGUCUCAAGGCAGAGACUAUUCAAAUAUAUGAUUACUGAAAAGUGCUUUUUAAUUUUCUAGUAUUUUUCAGUCAAUUUUCUUUUUUAAUCAAGGUUUUUUUUAGGCUAGCUUAAGUCCUUCUGAUAUGUGGAUAAAGCACUUAAUCAGUAUACAACUUCCAAGAUCUCUGCUGCUCAAAUUCACUUACGCAGAAACAAUUCCAUAAUAAAAAAAAACUUUCAUCAUUUAUAAAAAUGUGACAUCAGAUACAUUAAAAAAACCACAGACAUAAGAGGUUAUAAAAAAGUAAUUUUUGUUCAGUUAAGGUAGAACAGAUACCCUUAGGUGAACAGAAACCUAAUUUAAAUUACUUUUGUUUUUCAGCAUUCGGAAAUUAAAUUAUAUUGAACUGUCCGAUUCGGGAAAAAUUGGAUUUUGUUUAAUCAGUCUUGUCUUAACUACGACAGUUUCACUUUCUCUGUAAAAGCAUAUCCCUUGGGGAAGCUGAACAAGGUUUGAUGCCUGAACGGAAGGUAGGAAGGCUUAAAAAAGGGAACUCGCUAGAUUCCUUUAACUGGAUGAGGACAUUGGGCUUUUAAGUGCGCACGGGGCUGAAGACGAAUGUAGGUCACGGGGACACGACUUUAGCUUGUAAAGGGGUCUGCGGCAGAAAAAGCGCUCGUCGGAGAACCUCGGGGCACAGGGGACAGCGGGCCCUGACAAGCCAUUACACAGACGGGCGCGCCAGCAGGAUUUGGCAUGGUGUUUACACCUUUGCAUGCUGGUCUUUCAUAUUUGCAUGUCAGCUCCGAUUUCACCUUUUCAGUCCCCGAUACCAUCUCCGAGGAUGCGGCCGGGCAGGGAGGGGAUGCUCAAUGAAAGAGGGAUUUUUAACCAUUAACAGGAAUAUCUCGAAGGCUGGUGACAAGAGGAUGGUGCCAGACCUUUUCCAGUGGUGCCAAGUGACAGGAUGAGGAGCGAUGACCAUAACUAAAACACAAGUUUCAUCUCAACUCGAGGAAG
Molecule: long non-coding RNA, 10362 nt
Organism: Motacilla alba alba
Lineage: Eukaryota; Metazoa; Chordata; Aves; Passeriformes; Motacillidae
Exons: 3
Source: RefSeq, a predicted model, not a curated record